RNAcentral lists this unclassified non-coding RNA (394 nucleotides) under soil metagenome. Its description in RNAcentral is "partial contains 5.8S ribosomal RNA, internal transcribed spacer 2, and large subunit ribosomal RNA". The stretch from base 6 to 123 matches the Rfam family "5.8S ribosomal RNA", at positions 39 to 154 of the family's 154-position model. The record is from RNAcentral.
GAUGAAAGAACGUAGCGAAAUGCGAUACUUGGUGUGAAUUGCAGAAUCCCGUGAACCAUCGAGUCUUUGAACGCAAGUUGCGCCCGAAGCCACUAGGCCGAGGGCACGCCUGCCUGGGCGUCACACGUCGUUGCCCCCCCCCCAUCUACUCCUUCGGGAUUGCGGGGGGCGGAUGAUGGCCUCCCGUGCGCCUAGCCGCGCGGUUGGCAUAAAUACCAAGUCCUCGGCGACGCACGCCACGACAAUCGGUGGUUGCGAAACCUCGGUUGCCCGUCGUGUGCGUUCGUCGCGCAUCGAGGGCUCGAAAAAAUGCUCGGCUCCGGCUCGGCUUUCAACGCGACCCCAGGUCAGGCGGGGUUACCCGCUGAAUUUAAGCAUAUCAAUAAGCGGAGGA